Molecule: ribosomal RNA, 440 nt
Filed under: uncultured bacterium
Lineage: Bacteria
Description: partial 16S ribosomal RNA
Rfam family: Bacterial small subunit ribosomal RNA
Source: RNAcentral
CCUACGGGUGGCAGCAGUGGGGAAUAUUGCACAAUGGGGGAAACCCUGAUGCAGCGACGCCGCGUGGGUGAAGAAGUUUUUCGUUACGUAAAGCUCUAUCAUCAGGGAAGAAAAUGACGGUACCUGAGUACUACGCCCCGGCUAACUCCGUGCCAGCAGCCGCGGUAAUACGUAGGGGGCAAGCGUUAUCCGGAUUUACUGGGGGUAAAGGGAGCGUAGACGGGGCGCCAAGUCUGGAGUGAAAUGUAGCAGCUUAACUGCGGAACUGCUUUGGAAACUGGCGAACUAGAGUGCGGGAGGGGUAAGCGGAAUUCCUAGUGUAGCGGUGAAAUGCGUUGAGAUCAGGAGGAACACCGGUGGCGAAGGCGGCUUACUGGACCGUAACUGACGUUGAGGCUCGAAAGCGUGGGGAGCAAACAGGAUUAGAUACCCUUGUAGUC